AAAAUAAUUAGGUGCCCCUGAGGAAGCAGUAUUGUAGAGAUUCAACAAAUUUAUGGAUGUCAACAUUUUGCCUAGUGAGAGAAUCUCAAGUGGCAAUUGCCAUAAGCUUUUUCUUAAAAGAAAACUGCAGACAAACCUAGGCAGUAAAGCAUCCCAGUCAUAUUGUAUCUAUUUCAGUGCAGGGAACAAAUUGAACCUGGUGGAACUACACCUUGAUCAAUAGGCUUGCAGCUGUACUAGAACUUGCUUCAAGCCCAGUAACAUGAGGAAGAAAUAAUUUUCCAUGGAGACUAGUUCAUACAGGUUACCAU
This is a non-coding RNA of Pelobates cultripes (western spadefoot toad), 311 nucleotides long. NCBI's taxonomy places the organism in Eukaryota, Metazoa, Chordata, Amphibia, Anura, Pelobatidae. The record is from the annotation of a GenBank genome assembly.